UACGUAGGUCCCGAGCGUUGUCCGGAUUUAUUGGGCGUAAAGCGAGCGCAGGUGGUUUAUUAAGUCUGGUGUAAAAGGCAGUGGCUCAACCAUUGUAUGCAUUAGAAACUGGUAGACUUGAGUGCAGGAGAGGAGAGUAGAAUUCCAUGUGUAGCGGUGAAAUGCGUAGAUAUAUAGAGGAACACCGGUGGCGAAAGCGGCUCUCUGGCCUGUAACUGACACUGAGGCUCGAAAGCGUGGGGAGCAAACAGG
Molecule: ribosomal RNA, 252 nt
Filed under: uncultured bacterium
Lineage: Bacteria
Description: partial 16S ribosomal RNA
Rfam family: Bacterial small subunit ribosomal RNA
Source: RNAcentral